This 458-nucleotide ribosomal RNA is filed under the name uncultured bacterium. Its description in RNAcentral is "partial 16S ribosomal RNA". It matches the Rfam family "Bacterial small subunit ribosomal RNA", at positions 338 to 795 of the family's 1533-position model. The record is from RNAcentral.
CCUACGGGUGGCAGCAGUGGGGAAUAUUGCACAAUGGGGGAAACCCUGAUGCAGCGACGCCGCGUGAGUGAAGAAGUAUUUCGGUAUGUAAAGCUCUAUCAGCCGGGAAGAAAUAGCGACCUUGGGGUCGCCAGACGGUACCUGACUAAGAAGCCCCGGCUAACUACGUGCCAGCAGCCGCGGUAAUACGUAGGGGGCAAGCGUUAUCCGGAUUUACUGGGUGUAAAGGGAGCAUAGACGGCAGCACAAGUCUGAAGUGAAAUGCCGGGGCUUAACCCCGGAACUGCCUUGGAAACUGGGCAGCGAGAGUGCAGGAGAGGUAAGUGGAACUCCUAGUGUAGCGGUGAAAUGCGUAGAUAUUAGGAGGAACACCAGUGGCGAAGGCGGCUUACUGGACUGUAACUGACGUUGAGGCUCGAAAGCGUGGGGAGCAAACAGGAUUAGAUACCCGUGUAGUC